GAUGAACGCUGGCGGUAUGCUUAACACAUGCAAGUCGUACGAAGUGCGAUGGGGUUUACUCUAUCGUAUGGCAGUGGCGGACGGGUGCGUAACGCGUAAGAACUUACCUUUUGGCGAGGGACAACCGCGGGAAACUGCGGCUAAUACCUCAUAGAGCUGAGGAGCGAAAGGUGAAAACCACCAAAAGAGAGGCUUGCGUCUGAUUAGCUAGUUGGUGAGGGUAAUGGCCUCCCAAGGCGACGAUCAGUAGCUGGUCUGAGAGGAUGAUCAGCCACACUGGAACUGAGACACGGUCCAGACUCCUACGGGAGGCAGCAGUGAGGAAUUUUCCGCAAUGGGCGCAAGCCUGACGGAGCAAUACCGCGUGGAGAGGAAGGCCCGUGGGUCGUAACUCCUUUCUCA
RNAcentral lists this ribosomal RNA (402 nucleotides) under uncultured alga. Its description in RNAcentral is "bacterial SSU rRNA". It matches the Rfam family "Bacterial small subunit ribosomal RNA", at positions 28 to 440 of the family's 1533-position model. The record is from RNAcentral.